GCCACCGCUAUGUCUCCAUAAUUUGUAUACCCAGCCUGAGAGGUCCCUGGUCUCUUCAAUGACUGAGUUGAGGCUUGCUGUGCGGACUCAGCUAAUGCUAGCGCCAACAUUCGGGCAACAUUUUUCGGAGGCGGUGGUGGUGGGAUAAGAGAGACUGAACUGACAGGAACGGAAUCCUGAGGGGGGUCAUGGGUAACUGCUCCUGUCUGAGUCUGUCCAGAAGCUACAGCCUUA
RNAcentral lists this long non-coding RNA (234 nucleotides) under Homo sapiens (human). RNAcentral's name for it is "LNC_000674". Lineage: Eukaryota; Metazoa; Chordata; Mammalia; Primates; Hominidae. The record is from RNAcentral.